UUUCUCGGGGUCUUCGCAAUGGUCUAAAUCACUGCAGAAAGUAAGAAACUGUACAAAUAACAUCUUACCAUUCACAAUUUCUGCAUAAAGAUUCUACGCAAACUGCUUAGUCAACAGGAAAAAGGAUGCUCUAUCAAACAUACAAAAUACACAUGCACACAGGAAGCCAAGCAUGCAUGAAGGAGGGAAGGAAACUUUAUCCCUGAGGGAAGCAGCAGAUGAAAUGUGUUAUUUUUAGGUAGAUGGGACUUAGGCUGGUCAUGUACUUUUUAACUACUUCUGAAGGACCUUGGGAGCUUUAAUACCCAGAAAGAAACUGAAAGGAAAGACGGAUCUGUCCUGCUCUCUGCAAGCUGAGUAUCAGCUCUGGUGACAAGAAGCUAUGUAACAGUUUGCUCUCAUGGCAGAUGAGGCGAAUAGCGUUCAGGCUGCAUCGGAAAGAGCAUGCCCAAGCAGAUCGGGGAGGCUGUUAUCUCCAUCUACUGGAAAGAGUGAAUUUUCCCCUCACGCUGGUGCUGAAGGCAUUUAGCUUUGUCCCUGUUUACUACUUGAGGAAUGAGUGGUUACUAGUAUUCACUCACGUGCUUCUUGGCUUUGGAUUGCUCACGACUGUCAUAAUACGAGACCGGUGUUUUGGCAAAGCUGUGCACCUAGCCACGGUGGGACAGGGCCUGCUCUUCUUGUUCCCUGCAGCCGGGGUCACUUCUCUGCUCAUGUC
Long non-coding RNA from Oxyura jamaicensis (ruddy duck), 718 nucleotides. RefSeq lists it as uncharacterized. The transcript is spliced from 3 exons. Lineage: Eukaryota; Metazoa; Chordata; Aves; Anseriformes; Anatidae. The record is from RefSeq and is a predicted model, not a curated record.